CUACGGGUGGCUCCAGUGAGGAAUAUUGCACAAUGGGGGGAACCCUGAUGCAGCAACGCCGCGUGGAGGAUGACGCAUUUCGGUGUGUAAACUCCUUUUAUAUGUCAAGAAAAUGACGGUAGCAUAUGAAUAAGCACCGGCUAACUCCGUGCCAGCAGCCGCGGUAAUACGGAGGGUGCAAGCGUUACUCGGAAUCACUGGGCGUAAAGGACGCGUAGGCGGGCUGGAAAGUCAGGUGUGAAAUCCUACAGCUUAACUGUAGAACUGCACUUGAAACUUCUAAUCUAGAGUAUGGGAGGGGGAGAUGGAAUUAGUGGUGUAGGGGUAAAAUCCGUAGAUAUCACUAGGAAUACCUAAAGCGAAGGCGAUCUCCUGGAGCAUUACUGACGCUAAGGCGUGAAAGCGUGGGGAGCAAACAGGAUUAGAUACCCCCGUAGUC
This 439-nucleotide ribosomal RNA is filed under the name uncultured bacterium. Its description in RNAcentral is "partial 16S ribosomal RNA". It matches the Rfam family "Bacterial small subunit ribosomal RNA", at positions 339 to 795 of the family's 1533-position model. The record is from RNAcentral.